AACGUCUCAAAUCAGGCAAGAAGACCCGCUGAACUUAAGCAUAUCAAUAAGCGGAGGA
Molecule: ribosomal RNA, 58 nt
Filed under: uncultured fungus
Lineage: Eukaryota; Fungi
Description: partial 28S ribosomal RNA
Rfam family: Eukaryotic large subunit ribosomal RNA
Source: RNAcentral